RNAcentral lists this ribosomal RNA (549 nucleotides) under Anadoras grypus. Its description in RNAcentral is "partial 16S ribosomal RNA". It matches the Rfam family "Bacterial large subunit ribosomal RNA", at positions 1850 to 2606 of the family's 2925-position model. The record is from RNAcentral. Lineage: Eukaryota; Metazoa; Chordata; Actinopteri; Siluriformes; Doradidae.
AGGUCUUGCCUGCCCAGUGACAAGUUAAACGGCCGCGGUAUUUUGACCGUGCGAAGGUAGCGCAAUCACUUGUCUUUUAAAUGAAGACCUGUAUGAAUGGCGGAACGAGGGCUUAACUGUCUCCCCUUUCAAGUCAAUGAAAUUGAUCUGUCCGUGCAGAAGCGGACAUACCCCUACAAGACGAGAAGACCCUUUGGAGCUUAAGAUGCAAGAUCAACUAUGUCAAGAACCCCAAAACCAAGUCAAACUAAAUAGCACCUGAUCCCUAUCUUCGGUUGGGGCGACCACGGGAGAAAAUAAAGCUCCCACGCGGACCGGGGCCUACCCCAAAACUAAGAAAGACACUUCUAAGUCGCAGAACAUCUGACCACAAAGAUCCGGCUAUUUGCCGAUCAACGGACCAAGUUACCCUAGGGAUAACAGCGCAAUCCCCUUUCAGAGUCCAUAUCGACAAGGGGGUUUACGACCUCGAUGUUGGAUCAGGACAUCCUAAUGGUGCAGCCGCUAUUAAGGGUUCGUUUGUUCAACGAUUAAAGUCCUACGUGAUCU